GUGAGGAAUAUUGGACAAUGGAUGGAAAUCUGAUCCAGCCAUGCCGCGUGCAGGAAGACGGCCCUAUGGGUUGUAAACUGCUUUUAUACGGGAGCAAUAAGGUCUAUGCAUAGAUUGAUGAGAGUACCGUAUGAAUAAGCAUCGGCUAACUCCGUGCCAGCAGCCGCGGUAAUACGGAGGAUGCGAGCGUUAUCAGGAUCGAUUGGGUUUAAAGGGUGCGUAGGCGGCUUUGUAAGUCAGCGGUGAAAUUUUGCAGCUUAACUGUAAAAGUGCCGUUGAUACUGUGAAGCUAGGAUUUGGUUGCUGUGGGCGUCAUGUGUGGUGUAGCGGUGAAAUGCAUAGAGAUCACACAGAAUAUCGAUUGCGAAAGCAGCUCACAAAGCCAAUAUUGACGCUGAGGCACGACAGUGUGGGGAUCAAACAGGAUUAGAAACCCGAGUAGUCC
This 445-nucleotide ribosomal RNA is filed under the name uncultured bacterium. Its description in RNAcentral is "partial 16S ribosomal RNA". It matches the Rfam family "Bacterial small subunit ribosomal RNA", at positions 354 to 796 of the family's 1533-position model. The record is from RNAcentral.